RNAcentral lists this ribosomal RNA (449 nucleotides) under uncultured bacterium. Its description in RNAcentral is "bacterial SSU rRNA". It matches the Rfam family "Bacterial small subunit ribosomal RNA", at positions 329 to 793 of the family's 1533-position model. The record is from RNAcentral.
UACCAGACUCCUACGGGAGGCAGCAGUGGGGAAUAUUGGGCAAUGGGCGCAAGCCUGACCCAGCAACGCCGCGUGAAGGAAGAAGGCCCUCGGGUUGUAAACUUCUUUUAUUCGGGACGAAACAAAUGACGGUACCGAAUGAAUAAGCCACGGCUAACUCCGUGCCAGCAGCCGCGGUAAUACGGAGGAUGCGAGCGUUAUCCGGAUUUAUUGGGUUUAAAGGGUGCGCAGGCGGAGGUGCAAGUCAGUGGUCAAAUUGCGGGGCUCAACCCCGUACUGCCGUUGAAACUGCAUCCCUUGAGUGCGCGAGAAGUAUGCGGAAUGCGUGGUGUAGCGGUGAAAUGCAUAGAUAUCACGCAGAACUCCGGUUGCGAAGGCAGCAUACCGGCGCGCAACUGACGCUCAUGCACGAAAGCGUGGGUAUCGAACAGGAUUAGAUACCCCCGUAC